GACGAACGCUGGCGGCGUGCUUAACACAUGCAAGUCGAACGAAAAGGCCCUGCUCUUGUGGGUCUCUCGAGUGGCGAACGCGUGAGUAAAACGCGAGUAACCCGCCCCUGACAUUGGGGUAACUUCAGGAGACACGGGCUCAUACCCGGUAGAAGCUCCUGCUGCACGGGGGGGGUUGGAGAGUUACGGCGGUGGGGGAUGGUCUCGCGGGUUAUCAGCUUGUUGGUGGAGUAGUGGCGUACCAAGCCUUCGACGGGUAGCCGGCCUGGGAGGUUGACCGGCCACAAUGGGACUGAGAUACGGCCCAGUCUCCUACGGGCGGCAGCGGGGGAGAAUAUUGCACAGUGGGCGGAAGCCAGAUACAGCGACGCCGCGUGCGGGAAGCUGGCCUUCGAGUUGUAAACCGCUUUCGCCUUUGACAAGCCGUGCGUGACGGUAAUGAGUCAGGAAGCACCGGCUAACUACGUG
RNAcentral lists this ribosomal RNA (468 nucleotides) under uncultured bacterium. RNAcentral's name for it is "partial 16S ribosomal RNA". It matches the Rfam family "Bacterial small subunit ribosomal RNA", at positions 28 to 507 of the family's 1533-position model. The record is from RNAcentral.